This 502-nucleotide ribosomal RNA is filed under the name uncultured bacterium. RNAcentral's name for it is "partial 16S ribosomal RNA". It matches the Rfam family "Bacterial small subunit ribosomal RNA", at positions 28 to 507 of the family's 1533-position model. The record is from RNAcentral.
GACGAACGCUGGCGGCGUGCUUAACACAUGCAAGUCGAACGGUGAAGGGGUCUGCUUUUGUGGGCCCUGGAUGAGUGGCGAACGGGUGAGUAACACGUGAGUAACCUGCCCCCUUCUUCUGGAUAACCGCAUGAAAGUGUGGCUAAUACGGGAUAUUCUGGGUCUGUCGCAUGAUGGGUCUGGGAAAGAUUGCGCCUUUGGGUGUUUUUGGUGGGGGGUGGGCUCGCGGCCUAUCAGCUUGUUGGUGGGGUGAUGGCCUACCAAGGCGGUGACGGGUAGCCGGCCUGAGAGGGUGGACGGUCACACUGGGACUGAGACACGGCCCAGACUCCUACGGAAGGCAGCAGUGGGGAAUAUUGCACAAUGGGCGCAAGCCUGAUGCAGCGACGCCGCGUGAGGGAUGGAGGCCUUCGGGUUGUAAACCUCUUUCGCCAGUGAAGCAGGCCUGCUCCUUGUGGGUGGGUUGACGGUAGCUGGAGAAGAAGCGCCGGCUAACUACGUG